This 495-nucleotide ribosomal RNA is filed under the name uncultured soil bacterium. Its description in RNAcentral is "bacterial SSU rRNA". It matches the Rfam family "Bacterial small subunit ribosomal RNA", at positions 26 to 516 of the family's 1533-position model. The record is from RNAcentral.
AGAUUGAACGCUGGCGGCAGGCCUAACACAUGCAAGUCGAGCGGUAGAGAGGUGCUUGCACCUCUUGAGAGCGGCGGACGGGUGAGUAAUGCCUAGGAAUCUGCCUAGUGGUGGGGGAUAACGUUCGGAAACGGACGCUAAUACCGCAUACGUCCUACGGGAGAAAGCGGGGGACCUUCGGGCCUCGCGCCAUUAGAUGAGCCUAGGUCGGAUUAGCUAGUUGGUGAGGUAAUGGCUCACCAAGGCGACGAUCCGUAACUGGUCUGAGAGGAUGAUCAGUCACACUGGAACUGAGACACGGUCCAGACUCCUACGGGAGGCAGCAGUGGGAAUAUUGGACAAUGGGCGAAAGCCUAGAUCCAGCCAUGCCGCGUGUGUGAAGAAGGUCUUCGGAUUGUAAAGCAACUUUAAGUUGGGAGGAAGGUUAGUAACUUAAUACGUUGCGACUUUGACGUUACGACAGAAUAAGCACCGGCUAACUUCGUGCCAGCAGCC